CUAACAGCUUUUAAAAGCUUUGUAUGAUUAGUUGAACCAGUGAAGUCACAUGGAAUUUUUUGGUUCCUUUUCUGGAUUUUGAGCAUGUCAGGACCCUCAUUGUCUAUGGAGGAUGACAGAGCUUCUCAUUUCAUCUAUAAAAUUUUAAUUUGUGUUCAGAAGCUGAAGGAAGGUCUCAGGAAAAUCACAAGGCGAUGCUGUCGGUUCGCAUUUGGAUCUAUUCCCGUUCCCGACGGAUGAUCCGGAAGUGGGCGUUCGAAAGCCAAAAAAGGUGGCAUGGUGACACGGUGGUGCAGUGGGUAGAGCUGUCGUAUCACAGCAAGAAGGUCGCAGGUUCAAGCCCCUGCUGGGUCAGUUGCCAUUUCUGUGUGGAGUUUGCAUGCUCUCCC
Molecule: long non-coding RNA, 389 nt
Organism: Danio aesculapii
Lineage: Eukaryota; Metazoa; Chordata; Actinopteri; Cypriniformes; Danionidae
Exons: 3
Source: RefSeq, a predicted model, not a curated record